AGUGGCGGACGGGUGAGUAACGCGUAAGAAUCUAACUUCAGGACGGGGACAACAGUUGGAAACGACUGCUAAUACCCGAUGUGCCGCAAGGUGAAACCUAAUUGGCCUGAAGAAGAGCUUGCGUCUGAUUAGCUAGUUGGUGGGGUAAGAGCCUACCAAGGCGACGAUCAGUAGCUGGUCUGAGAGGAUGAGCAGCCACACUGGGACUGAGACACGGCCCAGACUCCUACGGGAGGCAGCAGUGGGGAAUUUUCCGCAAUGGGCGAAAGCCUGACGGAGCAACGCCGCGUGAGGGAGGAAGGUCUUUGGAUUGUAAACCUCUUUUCUCAAGGAAGAAGUUCUGACGGUACUUGAGGAAUCAGCCUCGGCUAACUCCGUGCCAGCAGCCGCGGUAAUACGGGGGAGGCAAGCGUUAUCCGGAAUUAUUGGGCGUAAAGCGUCCGCAGGUGGUCAGCCAAGUCUGCUGUCAAAUCAGGUUGCUUAACGACCUAAAGGGGUGGAAACUGGCAGACUAGAGAGCAGUAGGGGUAGCAGGAAUUCCCAGUGUAGCGGUGAAAUGCGUAGAGAUUGGGAAGAACAUCGGUGGCGAAAGCGUGCUACUGGGCUGUAUCUGACACUCAGGGACGAAAGCUAGGGGAGCGAAAGGGAUUAGAUACCCCUGUAGUCCUAGCCGUAAACGAUGGAUACUAGGCGUGGCUUG
This 700-nucleotide ribosomal RNA is filed under the name uncultured bacterium. RNAcentral describes it as "bacterial SSU rRNA". It matches the Rfam family "Bacterial small subunit ribosomal RNA", at positions 94 to 829 of the family's 1533-position model. The record is from RNAcentral.